This 395-nucleotide ribosomal RNA is filed under the name uncultured bacterium. Its description in RNAcentral is "bacterial SSU rRNA". It matches the Rfam family "Bacterial small subunit ribosomal RNA", at positions 30 to 431 of the family's 1533-position model. The record is from RNAcentral.
AUUGAACGCUGGCGGCAUGCCUUACACAUGCAAGUCGAACGGCAGCGGACCUUCGGGUGCCGGCGAGUGGCGAACGGGUGAGUAAUAUAUCGGAACGUACCUUUCAGUGGGGGGAUAACGUAGCGAAAGUUACGCUAAUACCGCAUAUUCUGUGAGCAGGAAAGCAGGGGAUCGCAAGACCUUGCGCUGAUUGAGCGGCCGAUAUCAGAUUAGCUAGUUGGUGAGGUAAAGGCUCACCAAGGCGACGAUCUGUAGCGGGUCUGAGAGGAUGAUCCGCCACACUGGAACUGAGACACGGUCCAGACUCCUACGGGAGGCAGCAGUGGGAAUUUGGACAAUGGGCGCAAGCCUGAUCCAGCCAUGCCGCGUGAGUGAAGAAGGCCUCGGUGUAAGAC